CGGACGGGUGAGUAAUGUCUGGGAAACUGCCUGAUGGAGGGGGAUAACUACUGGAAACGGUAGCUAAUACCGCAUAACGUCGCAAGACCAAAGAGGGGGACCUUCGGGCCUCUUGCCAUCGGAUGUGCCCAGAUGGGAUUAGCUAGUAGGUGGGGUAACGGCUCACCAAGGCGACGAUCCCUAGCUGGUCUGAGAGGAUGACCAGCCACACUGGAACUGAGACACGGUCCAG
RNAcentral lists this ribosomal RNA (232 nucleotides) under uncultured bacterium. RNAcentral describes it as "partial 16S ribosomal RNA". It matches the Rfam family "Bacterial small subunit ribosomal RNA", at positions 99 to 334 of the family's 1533-position model. The record is from RNAcentral.